AUGAACGCUGGCGGCGUGCUUCACCCAUGCCAGUCGAACGAAGCACUUUAUUUGAUUUCCUUCGGGACUGAUUAUUUUGUGACUGAGUGGCGGACGGGUGAGUAACGCGUGGGUAACCUGCCUUGUACAGGGGGAUAACAGUUGGAAACGGCUGCUAAUACCGCAUAAGCGCACAGCAUCGCAUGAUGCAGUGUGAAAAACUCCGGUGGUAUAAGAUGGACCCGCGUUGGAUUAGCUAGUUGGUGAGGUAACGGCCCACCAAGGCGACGAUCCAUAGCCGACCUGAGAGGGUGACCGGCCACAUUGGGACUGAGACACGGCCCAAACUCCUACGGGAGGCAGCAGUGGGGAAUAUUGCACAAUGGGCGAAAGCCUGAUGCAGCGACGCCGCGUGAGCGAAGAAGUAUUUCGGUAUGUAAAGCUCUAUCAGCAGGGAAGAUAAUGACGGUACCUGACUAAGAAGCACCGGCUAAAUACGU
This 479-nucleotide ribosomal RNA is filed under the name uncultured bacterium. RNAcentral's name for it is "partial 16S ribosomal RNA". It matches the Rfam family "Bacterial small subunit ribosomal RNA", at positions 29 to 506 of the family's 1533-position model. The record is from RNAcentral.